Molecule: ribosomal RNA, 253 nt
Filed under: uncultured bacterium
Lineage: Bacteria
Description: partial 16S ribosomal RNA
Rfam family: Bacterial small subunit ribosomal RNA
Source: RNAcentral
UACGGAGGGAGCUAGCGUUGUUCGGAAUUACUGGGCGUAAAGGGUAGGUAGGUGGUCUCGUUUGUCUGGGGUGAAAGCCUUGAGCUUAACUCAAGAAGUGCCCUAGAAACGGCGAGACUCGAGUCCUGGAGAGGGUCGUGGAAUUCCCGGUGUAGCGGUGAAAUGCGUAGAGAUCGGGAGGAACACCAGAGGCGAAGGCGGCGACCUGGACAGGUACUGACACUCAACUACGAAAGCGUGGGGAGCAAACAGG